This 185-nucleotide non-coding RNA is filed under the name Thermosipho melanesiensis. The record is from RNAcentral. Lineage: Bacteria; Thermotogati; Thermotogota; Thermotogae; Thermotogales; Fervidobacteriaceae.
UUAAAGUGAUAUAAUUAUGUUAGAAUAAUUUCCUUCUAAAAAAGGGAAGCCGGUGAAAAUCCGGCGCGGGGACGCCACCGUAACCGGGGACAAAAUCCACUUAAAGCCACUGGGACUAUCCUGGGAAGGCGUGGAGAGUAGGUUGAUCCGGAAGCCGGGAUACCUUUUUUAGAAGGAAAGUUUAC